This 458-nucleotide ribosomal RNA is filed under the name Enterococcus faecalis. RNAcentral's name for it is "bacterial SSU rRNA". It matches the Rfam family "Bacterial small subunit ribosomal RNA", at positions 28 to 464 of the family's 1533-position model. The record is from RNAcentral. Lineage: Bacteria; Bacillati; Bacillota; Bacilli; Lactobacillales; Enterococcaceae.
GACGAACGCUGGCGGCGUGCCUAAUACAUGCAAGUCGAACGCUUCUUUCCUCCCGAGUGCUUGCACUCAAUUGGAAAGAGGAGUGGCGGACGGGUGAGUAACACGUGGGUAACCUACCCAUCAGAGGGGGAUAACACUUGGAAACAGGUGCUAAUACCGCAUAACAGUUUAUGCCGCAUGGCAUAAGAGUGAAAGGCGCUUUCGGGUGUCGCUGAUGGAUGGACCCGCGGUGCAUUAGCUAGUUGGUGAGGUAACGGCUCACCAAGGCCACGAUGCAUAGCCGACCUGAGAGGGUGAUCGGCCACACUGGGACUGAGACACGGCCCAGACUCCUACGGGAGGCAGCAGUAGGGAAUCUUCGGCAAUGGACGAAAGUCUGACCGAGCAACGCCGCGUGAGUGAAGAAGGUUUUCGGAUCGUAAAACUCUGUUGUUAGAGAAGAACAAGGACGUUAGUAA